RNAcentral lists this ribosomal RNA (342 nucleotides) under uncultured Glomus. RNAcentral's name for it is "SSU rRNA". It matches the Rfam family "Eukaryotic small subunit ribosomal RNA", at positions 569 to 918 of the family's 1831-position model. The record is from RNAcentral. Lineage: Eukaryota; Fungi; Glomeromycota; Glomeromycetes; Glomerales; Glomeraceae.
AGCAGCCGCGGUAAUUCCAGCUCCAAUAGCGUAUAUUAAAGUUGUUGCAGUUAAAAAGCUCGUAGUUGAAUUUCGGGGUUAGUAGGUUGGUCGUGCCACUGGUACGUACUGGUCUCACUGACUCCUCCUUCCUGAUGAACUGUAAUGCCAUUAAUUUGGUGUUGCGGGGAAACUGGACUGUUACUUUGAAAAAUUGAGUGUUUAAAGCAAGCUAACGCUUGAAUACAUUAGCAUGGAAUAAUGAAAUAGGACGUUCGAUCCUAUUUUGUUGGUUUCUAGGAUUGACGUAAUGAUUAAUAGGGAUAGUUGGGGCAUUAGUAUUCAAUUGUCAGAGGUGAAAUU